GGAAGACAUGAAAACGAAAGAUGUUGAAAAAAGACGCUUCAUUUGGACACCUGAGUUGUUCCUAACUGGGAUUUGUACUUAUGCCUCUCUGGUUCUUAACCGUUCAACGUGUUUGCGAUUUAGCCGAUCUUGAAUAUUUAUUCCAAACUGUGCUUUGCGAAAACCCAUAUUCGAAGAGUGCGAGAGUGUGCUGCUCACAAGAAACCGCCACCUUCGCCACCUGCAGCACCGCGAUCGCAUCGCAUUGGGGAUUUAUUUUAAAUUCUCUGUUUUUAUUACGCUUCGCAUGGGUCGGGUACGGGACGGGACGGGUACCUGCCUACCUAUACCUACUUACGUACACAUGGGACUGGCUGGCUGGUGUGUGAGGCAAAGACGGCAGAGAGAACCCGUCGUCGUUUAUUUUAUGCCCAAGCCAAAGCAGGUUUUCGACCAACUCGUUCAACUUCGCCUUGACUGCUGCCAGCCAACCGACCGAAGCGACCCGACCGACCGACACGAGCAGCACGAACUGCGUCAGCUCCUCCAGUCAGUGCUAGUUUAGCCGUGGUGACAAUAGACAGCACGGUGUUGUCUUUUCCCGCGAUCGAGAAGCGCGCGCGCGAGAUCCGAGAUAUUCUGAAUCGUUUGUUGGUCAAGAAAAGUGAAGCGUUGAUUGAUUCGGACGUGAAGGUCUCCCCAAACAACCGAAAAAUUGCCGUGAGAUUGAUCGAUGCGUGUGCCUACGCGCAUACAUUGUGGUCAGUGCCGCGUUUGGUCACACUGUGGUGAUGGUGGGUGCCUCUAUAACCCCUUGGAGAUUUGUGCAAUAAUCUACGACGACGGCCGUCAGUGACCUUAGGUUUGAACCGCGCGAUUACACUUGCCGCGCCACACUGGCUGGUAUGGCGAAUCUGAAAAGGCGGCAACCAUGACAACGACGUUCCAUCGUGAUAAAUCUGUUUAAGCCAUUUGGCCUAGUGCGACCAGCAUCAGCAGCCAGAGCCUUUUACUCUCCUAAUGGGAUGUACGCGAGUGCGAAAGUGAUUUUUAUAUUAAGAAGGUGCUUAUUGAGUGCGUGUACUGUGAGUGAUCAACACCAAAGCAAGAGCCAAGAGUCGCUACUGGUGAUAAUGGGAGUUUAAUCCAAUUUGUGAUAAUAAAUCAGUUCGUUUACAUCGCACCGUGCUGCGUUGCGUGAGCUGCAGUAGUGUCUUGAUACAAUCACGAUCCGCCACCUUAACGGAAGAAUAGCGGAUUUGAACGAGCUUGUAAACGAAAUAAUAGCAGUCGUCUUAAUUUGGAGCUACACGCAUGGCGUACACAUUGGAGUAGCGGGAUUGCCGACAAGAGAGCAUUUGUCAAACCUACCAGCACCGUUCUAAUCAGCCGUUACGAUCAUAGCAUAUGAGUGAAAUGAACACGCGGCGCCACCAGCGAGGCAACAUUAACCUUCUAAGGUGUCCAAGAAAAUUACAAACGUUGCAGCAACAAGGCUCCCAAUAAUUAAUAAGCGAACAUGCUCUACCACUACUGACUGACGGACACCAGAACGGACACCGAUCAAUGACACACCGAUGCCCACGUUGACCAAUAACCGGAGGCCCGUCGUAACGACCAGAGCAUAUUUAAGGACCAUAUUAGCCAAUAAAUGCAAUCGCUAAUUAGCUAGAUAAUCAAACACCGCACAGCAGCGGCGCUACUGAAAAUGUGCCGAGUGUAAAGCGCAGACUACCGCCGGAGAGCCCCCAGAAGGGAAGGUGUGCUCAGGUGCCCGAAAGGCCCCCAGAGGCUUUUAGACAGAGAAUAUAGUGUGUAAUUAAACCGGCAUAGAGCUGCCGGAGGAAACCCACAAAAUAUCGCAGAAAAAGCACAAGCCAUGACGACGACGACGAAACCCGGCAGCAGAUCGGCAGCGAUGCUGAGCAGGCACCUGCAUUCAUACCUGAUCGCCCUCAUAGUGUUAGUUAGCUGCUGCUUAGAUAGGAUUGACAGUUGGACGCCAGAUGUCCUGACCAAGUCAUACAUUACAUACGGUAAGUGACAACCAACCUUUUUUUUCGAUGCAUCCAUGCGGGAGAUUACGCUGCAUCAUUUUACGAUCGAUCGCAUUUACCCCUAUGAGAAGCGUCCGUCGCCGCCUAAUUAGGAAGUGGUCGUGUGGCUUGCCCCUUAUUCAGACAUUCGAUAUCUUUUUCAUCGAAAUUUUAUUAUCCCACAUGAUCAGCAGCGCAAUGACUUCCGAUUCGUGUAUCUUUUUUUCGCUGACGGCUGUUGCUCAUACAAGAUCCCCAGUAGCAUUGUGUUUUAUGAUCUUGCUCGUUUCGUUGCGUUCCGUUAGUUGAUCGCUUCCGGCGACUUUCGUACGGCUUCUGUCUCGAUAUCGGUGUAGCUUUGCAUGUUUGCAGUUUCGUAGAUGCUGCAGUUCAUUUUCAUAAAGCCAGGGGGACAAAUGGGCAUGCAAACAAUGCGUUACUUGAGGAUCGUAAACACGUUUU
Aedes albopictus (Asian tiger mosquito) is the source of this 2477-nucleotide long non-coding RNA. RefSeq lists it as uncharacterized. The transcript has 3 exons. NCBI's taxonomy places the organism in Eukaryota, Metazoa, Arthropoda, Insecta, Diptera, Culicidae. The record is from RefSeq and is a predicted model, not a curated record.